AUACUAAAAGUCUUUCAGAGUUCCACUUUUUGCUAUCUGAAAAACACAGAUGGAAGGAAUUUGGAAUGUAUCAAAGCACACACAGUCACUGACAGGAAUAUGACCUACAAUCUUUCUAAGAACUGGAGACAUCCCACUAAGACAAAGGCUUCAAAAACUUCUAUUUGCAUAUGAUUGCAGAGGCUUUAUUAGAGCUUAGCAGUUAUAUUGUAAAGGACCAAAUGUUCAUUGCUCUUCAUUUAUGUGCACAGAACUUUGCUCAUACAGUCACUUCUCUGCUCAAUCUUCAUUUGCCUAUGAUUGAUGAGAGGACUAUAUGAGUGUGGCGGACAGAUGAGUGAACUUUUGCCUUAAACAUUCCUUGGUACAUAAGGUGCAAGCAAAUCAUAACCCCGAACAAGCCAUCUGUUCCUGGCGGGAACAGGACUGAGCUGCUGCGACCCCUGAAAUGGUCUCCCUGCAACCAUUCAGGACACACCAAGCCUGUGCUGAACCAGACCACGAUCGGGCAGAGACUUUGGGACCUGGACUGUAAAUUACUGCUGCUUAGCACAACUUCUAUAAAACUUGCUUAGCAUGAGUAUCUAAAUUUGCUGAAGCCUUAGGCUGCACUCCCUAGUUCAGUGAGAAAGGGCCCCAGGGCUGGUGCAGGCAGGAAAGACAAGGGGGUUACCAGCAGUUUGCAUUCGCAUGCUUCACACUCCAGGAGGAAGGAUGUCAAGGCAUUGAAGUGAGGCCUGCUUGGGCACCGGGACCCUGGGGAGCAGGGCCUCCUCUCGCUGCUGAAACAGUGCUGAUUAGGGGGUCUGGGCUAUCUCGGGGUCCAGAUCAUAUUCCCUUUGUCUGGACCUUAGGAAAUAACACCUACCAUCACUGCUGGGGAAGUAAUAAAUUGUCAGGGCUUUGAGAGAUAAGGGCAAGACCCGAAGAAUGAAAACACAUCUGUCAGCAGAAACCACAACAGUAAACAACCUACCUAGGGACCCAAUAAGGAGCAGGAGACCCCAGACCUAAAUAUUACUAUUGGUCCAAACUACUGCGUGAAGGGUGGAGAGCUUAGAUUGGAAAGUAUAAUUGCCCAGGGAUUUCUUUGUUCGGGGUCCCUCUUCAGAGGCACCCAACUCAAGCUGUAACUACUGCACGCGUGUUAUUACAAAUUAUUUAUUUAAUUUGCCUUGAUUUGGCUCCAAACUUUUCAGCGGGAACCUAGGGUUGGACCCUGCUCAAGUUGUAAUUACUGCACGCGCUUCACUAAAAUUUACACCCAGGGUGAAGAGGACCAACAGGACGCCGCUAGAUCCACAGGUGGUGAUAUCCCUUUCUCUCUCUCUCUCUCUCUCUCUCUCUCUCUUUCUUUCUUUCUCUCUCUCCUCCUCUUUGCCUUUCCCCACCUUUUCUCCCCACUCCGUGGAAAAUAAAGUUAAAAGGUUGUACGAUA
Long non-coding RNA from Dromaius novaehollandiae (emu), 1438 nucleotides. RefSeq lists it as uncharacterized. Lineage: Eukaryota; Metazoa; Chordata; Aves; Casuariiformes; Dromaiidae. The record is from RefSeq and is a predicted model, not a curated record. The transcript is spliced from 4 exons.